GAGUUUGAUCCUGGCUCAGGAUGAACGCUAGCGGGAGGCUUAACACAUGCAAGUCGAGGGGCAGCACGGGUAGCAAUACCUGGUGGCGACCGGCAGACGGGUGAGUAACGCGUAUGUAACCUACCCUGUACAGGGGGAUAACCCGGAGAAAUUCGGACUAAUAUCCCAUAGAAAUAUUGGAAGGCAUCUUUUGAUAUUUAAAGUUCCGGCGGUACGGGAUGGGCAUGCGUAACAUUAGCUAGUUGGUAAGGUAACGGCUUACCAAGGCUUUGAUGUUUAGGGGUCCUGAGAGGGUGGUCCCCCACACUGGUACUGAGACACGGACCAGACUCCUACGGGAGGCAGCAGUGAGGAAUAUUGGUCAAUGGGCGCAAGCCUGAACCAGCCAUCCCGCGUGCAGGAAGACGGCCCUAUGGGUUGUAAACUGCCUUUCCAGGGAGAGAAACUUG
This 449-nucleotide ribosomal RNA is filed under the name uncultured bacterium. RNAcentral's name for it is "bacterial SSU rRNA". It matches the Rfam family "Bacterial small subunit ribosomal RNA", at positions 9 to 454 of the family's 1533-position model. The record is from RNAcentral.